CAUUUAUUAAAGAACUUCAAAGUCAUUUUUUAAUUACUAAAUUCAAAAGGUAUAACGGUCAAAAGAGAGUUUGAAACUUUCGACAUAUAUAUUUAAGCAAACGAUGAGAGCGUACGUGUCAUUUUUCCUACAUACAGGUUAAAAAAUCUUACUAGAAACUUCCAUUAACAAGAAUGUAUAAGUAUAAAUUAUAGGAUUUAAUGUAUCAAAAAAAUUAUAAAUAUGAGAUUGAUUUUUAAUAAAAAUUAAUUAAUAGAGUGAAAAUAUCUGCCAAUCAAUUGUUAAAUCUCUAAGUGCAUGAGUCACAAAAGAUUUCUCAUAGUAGCUCCUCACAACUUUGUUUUGUAAUUUGUAUGAACUCAUAACCUUUUUAUUACCACCAUAAAAUAAUUGACAACAUCACAAUUUGUCAAUUUGCAAUUUAUAUAAAUCGUUCACUUUUCUCUUACAACAGUUAAAAAAUAUGCACUGUAGGGCCAAAAUUGUAGUUUACUUAAUACUUUAUUUUAAUCAUUCUCAACUUGAGUGAUGCUAACGACACCCUCUUUUUCUCUCUUAAAACACCUCUUUGGUACUUACAUUUCGGAUUAUAGUUGAAAUUUUAUUGGAAGACAACAAUAAAAUGUGUCAAAUGUCGGAUUAUAGCUAACGAGACCUAUGCAUUUUGGGAACCUCCAAUGAAAUGUGUCAAAUGUCGAGCAGAAGGUCCAUGUAUCUACAGAAUCAUAUGCAAAAUAUGCGCUAACUUUUGUGAGGGACAAAAAUGUAAUAUAUAAAAACAUGUAAACAUAUACAGCAGCACAACCCGGGAGGAUUUAUUUAACGAAUUUGUAUCAAUUCGAAGUUUCAAUUGAAUUGCGUGAACGUUUUAUAAUUUUCUACAUUCGUGAUUCUGCACCAAUGUAAGCAGUGAAGUAGUCAGAAAAUCGAAGUAACGGGGAUAGAAUUUUUUACCAGUGUAAAAUGUAAAGAAACAUUGAUGUCCAUAUGUCGUAUCUGAGUUUUAGCUAGGAAUCAAGGCUUUAAAACAAAGGCAGUAAAAUGCCCAGAUCACAAGAAGCUAACAUAUGAUUUUUAUUUUUAUUUUUAAAUAAUGAAUUUAAUGGAUUCCAUUCGAUUGGAAAAUUGUUUAAUAGAUUCCAUGCAAUUGGCCAUUUAUAUUUAAUAAAUAGAUAAGA
This 1178-nucleotide long non-coding RNA is filed under the name Citrus x clementina. Its description in RNAcentral is "Citrus clementina (C. clementina) long non-coding RNA (CCLE_LNC001080)". The record is from RNAcentral. Lineage: Eukaryota; Viridiplantae; Streptophyta; Magnoliopsida; Sapindales; Rutaceae.